This 253-nucleotide ribosomal RNA is filed under the name uncultured prokaryote. RNAcentral's name for it is "partial 16S ribosomal RNA". It matches the Rfam family "Bacterial small subunit ribosomal RNA", at positions 525 to 777 of the family's 1533-position model. The record is from RNAcentral.
ACGUAGGGGCCGAGCGUUGUCCGGAGUUACUGGGCGUAAAGGGCGCGCAGGCGGUCCCGCGCAUCUCUGGUGAAAGCCCCGGGCUCAACCCGGGAGGGUCCAGGGAGAUGGCGGGACUGGAGGCAGGGCGAGGGCGGUGGAAUUCCGGGUGUAGUGGUGAAAUGCGUAGAGAUCCGGAGGAACACCAGUGGCGAAGGCGGCCGCCUGGACCUGACCUGACGCUGAGGCGCGAAGGCGUGGGGAGCGAACGGGA